AGUAGUGAAGCCCCCUCCACUCUCGAAACUAGUCGAUCUCUGGAUCUUCGCCUAUCUUCGGAAACUCUGGACAAAGUCAUGGAGUCACGUGGAAGGCGUGGAUGCCAUUUUGUCAUUUUAUUCUAAUCAAAGAAGUUAUUGAGUAAUUUUGAAUAACUCAAAAAUGGUUCUGGAAAAUUUGAACGAGAGCAACGAAGACAACCAUACAAUGGAUUGUGACGCAGAUGAGUCGACACAAAUUCAAAAGAAAAUUAUCGAGAAAAAAGGUAAAAAGAUUAAAAGAGGAAUAAUCUAUCUGUCCACAAUUCCGAAAUACAUGAACGUCACGAUGAUCCAAGAGAUGUUUUCUGCUUAUGGGAAAAUAGGCAGAGUAUAUCUGCAGCUAGUCGACAAUGAGACACAAUCAGUGAAACAUAAAAAGAAAACCAAGAAAAUAAUCAAGUAUUUUACUGAAGGUUGGGUAGAAUUUGAAAGUAAAAAAGUAGCAAAAUUUGUAGCAGAGACAUUAAACAAUACCAAAGUAUCUACGAGAAAGAAAAGCAAAUUCUACGAUAUUAUGUGGAAUAUAAAGUAUUUGCCUAGAUUUAAAUGGGUUCAUUUGAGUGAACGAUUAGCAUAUGAACGUGCAGUCCAUAAGCAAAGACUUCUAACAGAAAUAGCACAAGCUAAGAGAGAAAUUAAUUUCUUCUCGUAUAAUGUAGACAGAAGUAAAAAGCUGCGUAGAAAACAUGAACAAGGGGAGAAGACAACAUUUGAAUUGCCUGAAGUUAAGCAAAGGGAUACUGAUAAUGAAAUAAGAAACAGAAAAGCAAAUACGCAAGUAGAAGACAGAACAGAGUUCCUUAAAUCAAUAUUUGGAUAAAAUUUGUUAAAAUAAAACUGUGUAAAAGCUAAGAAAGUUAUGGAAAUAACAUUCAGUAAACAAAAAAUGCUCACAAAAGAGAUAGGCGUAGUUCACCACUGAUGAAGAAUUCAAGACAUCAUCACAAGAAAUUUUAUUAGAUGAAUCGGUUGUUGUACUAAGCUAACAGCGUUGUCCACAGCGUUGAUGUUAUCUACAACAAAUAUGAACGUGAUUGAAAUAGGAGAGAUCUCUGUACGCAACUGGCUCUCCUACUUAUUUUUCUGCCCGGCUCCCAACGCACGCGACCCCCGAAUAGCCUCGGUCAGCCUUCUGAUUGGCCGUCGAUGGUUUAGAGAGACCGUCGAUCGCCGACGAAGACAAAGCGAUAAGCGUGGCAUUUUCCGCCAGGAUCGCCGGCGCCGACGAUCCUUUGUAUUGCCGCGCUCAUGGCCUUCACACACGAAUCGACGGAAGACGUAAAACGUAAAUCGUAACCGUAGUACGUGAGCGCCAUCACACACGACUGCCUUAAGCUGAUAAUCAAUAAAGAAAACACCUUUCCUCAAUUAUGGAUGAUGGAGAGGAAAUGUUGGGACUUUUGGUUCUG
Mycetomoellerius zeteki is the source of this 1451-nucleotide RNA transcript. It is a transcript of the gene named activator of basal transcription 1, with no coding region annotated. NCBI's taxonomy places the organism in Eukaryota, Metazoa, Arthropoda, Insecta, Hymenoptera, Formicidae. The transcript is spliced from 6 exons. The record is from RefSeq and is a predicted model, not a curated record.